UGCGGUGGUCAUAGUAUUGGGGAAACGCCCGGCAACAUUCCGAACCCGGAAGCUAAGCCCAACAACGCCGAUGGUACUGCACCCGACAGGGUGUGGGAGAGUAGGAAACCGCCGCAA
This 117-nucleotide ribosomal RNA is filed under the name Schaalia cardiffensis. Lineage: Bacteria; Bacillati; Actinomycetota; Actinomycetes; Actinomycetales; Actinomycetaceae. The record is from RNAcentral. RNAcentral also lists the same sequence under 2 other names.